This 485-nucleotide ribosomal RNA is filed under the name uncultured bacterium. RNAcentral describes it as "partial 16S ribosomal RNA". It matches the Rfam family "Bacterial small subunit ribosomal RNA", at positions 28 to 507 of the family's 1533-position model. The record is from RNAcentral.
GAUGAACGCUAGCGACAGGCUUAACACAUGCAAGUCGAGGGGCAGCACAGGUAGCACUACCGGGUGGCGACCGGCGCACGGGUGAGUAACGCGUAUGCAACUUACCUAUCAGAGGGGGAUAACCCGGCGAAAGUCGGACUAAUACCGCAUGAAGCAGGGGUCCCGCAUGGGGAUAUUUGCUAAAGAUUCAUCGCUGAUAGAUAGGCAUGCGUUCCAUUAGGCAGUUGGCGGGGUAACGGCCCACCAAACCGACGAUGGAUAGGGGUUCUGAGAGGAAGGUCCCCCACAUUGGUACUGAGACACGGACCAAACUCCUACGGGAGGCAGCAGUGAGGAAUAUUGGUCAAUGGCCGAGAGGCUGAACCAGCCAAGUCGCGUGAGGGAUGAAGGUUCUAUGGAUCGUAAACCUCUUUUAUAAGGGAAUAAAGUGCGGGACGUGUCCCGUUUUGUAUGUACCUUAUGAAUAAGGAGCGGCUAACUCCGUG